CCUACGGGUGGCAGCAGUGAGGAAUAUUGGUCAAUGGGCGCGAGCCUGAACCAGCCAAGUAGCGUGAAGGAUGACUGCCCUACGGGUUGUAAACUUCGUUUAUAAAGGAAUAAAGUGAGGCACGUGUGCCUUUUUGUAUGUACGUUAUGAAUAAGGAUCGGCUAACUCCGUGCCAGCAGCCGCGGUAAUACGGAGGAUCCGAGCGUUAUCCGGAUUUAUUGGGGUGAAAGGGAGCGUAGAGGGGUUGUUAAGUCAGUUGUGACAGUUUGCGGCUCAACCGUAAAAUUGCACUUGAUACUGGCAGUCUUGUGUACAGUUGCGGUAGGCUGCCUUCGUGGUGUCGCUG
Molecule: ribosomal RNA, 346 nt
Filed under: uncultured bacterium
Lineage: Bacteria
Description: partial 16S ribosomal RNA
Rfam family: Bacterial small subunit ribosomal RNA
Source: RNAcentral